CUACGGGGGGCAGCAGUGGGGAAUAUUGCACAAUGGAGGAAACUCUGAUGCAGCGACGCCGCGUGAGUGAAGAAGUAUUUCGGUAUGUAAAGCUCUAUCAGCAGGGAAGAUAGUGACGGUACCUGACUAAGAAGCACCGGCUAAAUACGUGCCAGCAGCCGCGGUAAUACGUAUGGUGCAAGCGUUAUCCGGAUUUACUGGGUGUAAAGGGAGUGUAGGUGGUCUGACAAGUCAGAGGUGAAAGCCCGGGGCUCAACCCCGGGACUGCCUUUGAAACUGUCAGACUAGAGUGCAGGAGAGGUAAGUGGAAUUCCUAGUGUAGCGGUGAAAUGCGUAGAUAUUAGGAGGAACACCAGUGGCGAAGGCGGCUUACUGGACUGUAACUGACACUGAGGCUCGAAAGCGUGGGGAGCAAACAGGAUUAGAUACCCUCGUAGUC
Molecule: ribosomal RNA, 439 nt
Filed under: uncultured bacterium
Lineage: Bacteria
Description: partial 16S ribosomal RNA
Rfam family: Bacterial small subunit ribosomal RNA
Source: RNAcentral